RNAcentral lists this ribosomal RNA (494 nucleotides) under uncultured bacterium. RNAcentral describes it as "bacterial SSU rRNA". It matches the Rfam family "Bacterial small subunit ribosomal RNA", at positions 18 to 556 of the family's 1533-position model. The record is from RNAcentral.
CAUGGCUCAGACUGAACGCUGGCGGCAUGGCUAAAAGCAUGCAAGUCGAACGAGCCCGCAAGGGCAAGUGGCGGACGGGUUAGUAAUGCGAUCGAACGUACCCAGAGGUGGGGGAUAGCGGUGGGAAACUGCCGGUAAUACCCCAUGUGCUCCUCGGAGGAAAGGUUUACCGCCUUUUGGAUCGGCGAUCGUCCUAUCAGGUAGUUGGCGGGGUAAAAGCCCACCAAGCCGAAGACGGGUAGCGGGUGUGAGAGCACGGCCCGCAACAUCGGAACUGAGAUACUGUCCGGACUCCUACGGGAGGCUGCAGCAACGAAUCUUCCGCAAUGGGCGCAAGCCUGACGGAGCAAUGCCGCGUGUGGGAUGAAGUGCCUCCGGCAUGUAAACCACUGUCAGAAAGCAGAAACACUGAUUGCUUUCAAAGGAAGUGGCGACUAACUCUGUGCCAGCAGUCGCGGUAAUACAGAGGCCACAAGCGUUAGUCGGAAUUACUG